RNAcentral lists this ribosomal RNA (260 nucleotides) under uncultured archaeon. RNAcentral describes it as "partial 16S ribosomal RNA". It matches the Rfam family "Archaeal small subunit ribosomal RNA", at positions 748 to 1009 of the family's 1478-position model. The record is from RNAcentral.
CAGCCCUAAACGAUGCGCGUUAGGUGUAUCGGUGACCACGAGUCACCGAGGUGCCGAAGGGAAACCGUGAAACGUGCCGCCUGGGAAGUACGGUCGCAAGGCUGAAACUUAAAGGAAUUGGCGGGGAGCACCACAACGGGUGGAGCUUGCGGUUUAAUUGGACUCAACGCCGGGAAGCUCACCGGAUAAGACAGCGGAAUGAUUGCCGGGCUGAAGACCCUGCAUGACCAGCUGAGAGGAGGUGCAUGGCGUAGUCGUGU